AAUGAACGCUAGCUACAGGCUUAACACAUGCAAGUCGAGGGGGUAGCACGGAGGAAGCUUGCUUCCUUGGGUGACGACCGGCGCACGGGUGAGUAACGCGUAUCCGACCUACCCAUAACUCGGGCACAGCCGCUCGAAAGAGUGAUUGAUUCCCGAUAUGUCAUUGGAGUAGAUUCAAUGAUGAAAGAUUUAUCGGUUAUGGAUGGGGAUGCGUAAGAUUAGGUAGUAGGCGGGGUAACGGCUCACCAUGGCGACGAUGUCUAGGGGAACUGAGAGGUUAAUCCCCCACACUGGUACUGAGACACGGACCAGACUCCUACGGGAGGCAGCAGUGAGGAAUAUUGGACAAUGGAUGGAAAUCUGAUCCAGCCAUGCCGCGUGCAGGAUGACGGCCCUAUGGGUCUUAAACUGCUUUUGUAUGGGAGCAAUAAGUUCUACGUGUAGAGCGAUGAGAGUACCUUACGAAUAAGCAUCGGCUAACUCCGUG
RNAcentral lists this ribosomal RNA (487 nucleotides) under uncultured bacterium. RNAcentral describes it as "bacterial SSU rRNA". It matches the Rfam family "Bacterial small subunit ribosomal RNA", at positions 29 to 507 of the family's 1533-position model. The record is from RNAcentral.